GGGGCCAAGUGUUAUAGAGAUAACCUGCCGAUCAGAGCAACCUAGCGAUCUACAGAUUCUGACGAGCAAUCUUCUACUCCACCUUCUUAUGAAGAGGUAUGAAGGGGACCCUCAGAUAAGAACAACUUUCAGAGAGAAAAUCUAUCUCUUUCUCAUCAUUCUCCUUCUUUUCUCUAUUGUUCUCAAGCUCCGCUUAAGCAUCGGAGGUCUCCCACUGAAAAACCCCCCAACAAGUAUAGACUUUCUUUGCAGAUUCCCUCCAGC
This 264-nucleotide long non-coding RNA is filed under the name Elaeis guineensis (African oil palm). Its description in RNAcentral is "long non-coding RNA (EGUI_LNC044359)". The record is from RNAcentral. Lineage: Eukaryota; Viridiplantae; Streptophyta; Magnoliopsida; Arecales; Arecaceae.